GCGGUAGCUCAGUGGUAGGGCACUUGCCUAGAAUGCGUGAAACCCUGGGUUCCACCCCCAGCACUGCA
RNAcentral lists this transfer RNA (68 nucleotides) under Fukomys damarensis (Damara mole-rat). It matches the Rfam family "tRNA". Rfam says of the family: Transfer RNA (tRNA) molecules are approximately 80 nucleotides in length. Their secondary structure includes four short double-helical elements and three loops (D, anti-codon, and T loops). Further hydrogen bonds mediate the characteristic L-shaped molecular structure. tRNAs have two regions of fundamental functional importance: the anti-codon, which is responsible for specific mRNA codon recognition, and the 3' end, to which the tRNAs corresponding amino acid is attached (by aminoacyl-tRNA synthetases). tRNAs cope with the degeneracy of the genetic code in two manners: having more than one tRNA (with a specific anti-codon) for a particular amino acid; and 'wobble' base-pairing, i.e. permitting non-standard base-pairing at the 3rd anti-codon position. Lineage: Eukaryota; Metazoa; Chordata; Mammalia; Rodentia; Bathyergidae. The record is from Rfam by way of RNAcentral.